Molecule: non-coding RNA, 98 nt
Organism: Paramuricea clavata
Lineage: Eukaryota; Metazoa; Cnidaria; Anthozoa; Malacalcyonacea; Plexauridae
Source: the annotation of a GenBank genome assembly
UGUAACAUUUUCUGUGGCCUACAUUGUGUGUGCUCAUCUAUAUAUAAUAUUAUAUAUAGAUGAGCACACUCAAUGUAGGCCACAGAAAAUGUUACAUC